RNAcentral lists this small RNA (21 nucleotides) under Arabidopsis thaliana (thale cress). Its description in RNAcentral is "Ath_wt_17952". The record is from RNAcentral. Lineage: Eukaryota; Viridiplantae; Streptophyta; Magnoliopsida; Brassicales; Brassicaceae.
AAUUUGAAGCUAGAGGUGUCA